GGGGGGAAACUAUUCUGCACCCCGUGCAACUGUGUGUUGGAGCAUAAGAGAAAACCGACGGUGACGACCCACUUGGAUUCAUUCAAACAUUCGAAAAGGCUGUCUGCUGCUGCUACGGUGGCCGGCAGGUGCAAACGCGGAACAACGGCCCAAAACGCAUACAUUAGCAGGAAACGGCUGCAAAUCCUGAAAUGAAAAACAAACAAAUCCUGAAAACAAAUACAACAGAAAAACGCUGCAUUUACAGAAAUUAUGCAAACUAAAUACAACACACAAACCCCGAAAACAAACGCAACAAAAAAACGCUGCACGAUAUGCAAAGUCCAAAGCACGUACAAAUCCCAAAACACAUAAAAAAAAUAAAAAGAACAUUCCGGAAGUGCUCCAGGCCUCUAGGGGGCGCGCUACGUGGAACAGAUUGAUGUCUGACCAGACAGAGAGAACGAACAAGAGUGCUGCAAAUUGAAGCCGGAGGAAACAAAGUUGAUCGAAGUGGGAAAAGUCGAUAUAUAAGAAGGUGUGGGACAUUCCAAAUGUUCCAAAAGUGAGCACUCCACGAAUGGACAACAGUUUGCCAGGACCUCUCAGGCACCCACAACCAGCGUCUGAUCGGGAUGGAGCACCAACCCCAUUCCAGGAAGAGGUCCAGUCUGUCCCGCGUCAGAACAACUUCUAUAGGUAAACAAUGUUGACAGUUGCAUCGUGACACAGUUUUUCAAUUCAAUUCAAAACCUUUAUUUAUCCAGGUAAAAUCCCAUUGAGAUCAAUGAUCUCUUUUUCAAGGGAGACCUGCAGCAGUAGGUUCCACAAGAAGACAUAAACAACAGAACAACAA
Long non-coding RNA from Gymnodraco acuticeps, 835 nucleotides. RefSeq lists it as uncharacterized. The transcript has 4 exons. The record is from RefSeq and is a predicted model, not a curated record. NCBI's taxonomy places the organism in Eukaryota, Metazoa, Chordata, Actinopteri, Perciformes, Bathydraconidae.